Molecule: ribosomal RNA, 253 nt
Filed under: uncultured bacterium
Lineage: Bacteria
Description: partial 16S ribosomal RNA
Rfam family: Bacterial small subunit ribosomal RNA
Source: RNAcentral
UACGUAGGGUGCCGGCGUUAAUCGGAAUUACUGGGCGUAAAGCGUGCGCAGGUUGUUUUGCACGUCCGGUGUGAAAUCCCCGGGCUUAACCUGGGAAUUGCGCUUGAAACUAGCGGGCUUGAGUGUGGCAGAGGGGGGUGGAAUUCCACGUGUAGCAGUGAAAUGCGUAGAGAUUGGAAAGAACACCGAUGGCGAAGGCACUUUACUGGGCUAUUACUAACACUCAGAGACGAAAGCUAGGGUAGCAAAUGGG